RNAcentral lists this ribosomal RNA (306 nucleotides) under Triticum aestivum (bread wheat). RNAcentral describes it as "partial small subunit ribosomal RNA". The record is from RNAcentral. Lineage: Eukaryota; Viridiplantae; Streptophyta; Magnoliopsida; Poales; Poaceae.
AUGGAGUGCAACCUCCAUGCGGCGAGCCUCUGGGUUCCCAUGGAGGACGACCUGGUCGAGAGAAAGGAGGACAGAAAAGCGGUGGCGGCACUCAUGUGUGCCACGCCGCCGAAGAUGCACGGCAUGCUCGCGGCGAAGGCAAGCGCGAAGGAGGCGUGGGAAGCCAUCCGUACCCAGCGCCUCGGCAGCAACCGCGUGCGCGAGGCGAUCGCGCAGAAGCUGCGAGCGGACUUCGAGAACAUCGCCUUCAAGGAGGGAAAGCUCGUCGAUGACUUCGCCAUGCGGAUCUCCAGCCUUGCGUCGUAG